This 922-nucleotide long non-coding RNA is filed under the name Rhinopithecus bieti (black snub-nosed monkey). RNAcentral describes it as "lncRNA (ENSRBIG00000046047.1)". Lineage: Eukaryota; Metazoa; Chordata; Mammalia; Primates; Cercopithecidae. The record is from RNAcentral.
AGGCCAUAUAAAUCUCCUCCCUGCCCCCACUAUGACGUGCAGCUUCAGGGUGGAUGAAUUUGCCUGUGAUAAGUAAGGCUUCUGGAAGAAAGAGCUGCCUAGGGGAGCAAUUGCUUUCUGCCUAGGGGAAGGAAUGCCUUGUGCCCCUGGCACAGACAGGACCUGGGACCUACGUCCUCCUCUGGCCCCCAGUCCCCCAUCCAGGUGCUUAGACUGGGGAGGCAGGGGCAGCACUUCUGUCGCCCCCAGCCUUUGAUGCGACACAGAGCCUGGGGUUCACUGGAGUAGGGCUGCGGAGGAGGAAACCCUGUGGUCGCGGUGGGGACUAGAGACCUCUGCCCGCCCACCGGAACGUGUAUCUUUUCUUCUGUUUGCUUGCAGGGAGAAGAAAGAAGCACCUGCCUUGCCGCCUUCCCUCCUCUGCCUGUCCAAAGGUGAAUGAUAAGAGUCGGGCAGUGUGCACGUCUUCCCAGAAGAAAACAUGAGGCUCAGAUGUGACUCAGUGUCCCCGGGCAGGAAAUGGCAGGCGGCACCUCGCUUUACUCCAUGUCCAGCCUAUGUUGGAAAUACCCCUUCCUAUGUUGGAAAACUUGUAGAAUCAAUCCGGGGAAGAAAAGGUGCUGUGGUUCCAAUUGCAACGACAUCCUCUGUUCACUGCUGCCCGGGCCCUGUGGCACUGGGUAAGCUGCUGGGGUGGACGGCGGGAAUGGCUGUAUUUUGGGAGGCUCCCAUGCACGUUGUGUGACCAUGGGGUGGGGCACACAGUGGCCCCUCGGGGGCAUGUGGUUUGGUGGACCCCAAGGUCACAGCAGUGAGACCCACUGAGCCAGUGGUGGUAGUGAGGUUCCAGGAGCCUGGCUUUUCAAUGCAGGAAGACGUGUUGCUGAGGGUCACCUGAAGCUGGAAUUGGACCAACCCAGGA